UAUGUUUUUGUUAAAUGGUGAGUCAGACCAAUAUCUCGCAGAAACACUUGUGCUAAAUCAAGGAACAUUAAUUACAAGGUUAAAGUUGAUGGGGCAAAGACUUAAGCUUUUAACUAGUACAAACCUCAUUGAGACCUUCUGCAGUCUUAACUGAUACAUGGCUUGCUCCAUUAGGUCCCAUAUUAUGGUACCUUGCCAUUUCAACAUGGUCAGUAUCUCCAUUUUCUGUGUCAAAGAAAGCAUGAGGUGUUUGUAGUAAGUAGAUCACAUUUUGAGACGACAUCAAGCCACAGAUGAUUAGGAAACCUCUCCAUAAAUUCUCAAGAUAUCUCAAAUUGCAAGAUCUAAUGCCACAUAUCAUAG
Molecule: long non-coding RNA, 363 nt
Filed under: Carica papaya (papaya)
Lineage: Eukaryota; Viridiplantae; Streptophyta; Magnoliopsida; Brassicales; Caricaceae
Description: long non-coding RNA (CPAP_LNC010792)
Source: RNAcentral